Oryctolagus cuniculus (rabbit) is the source of this 722-nucleotide non-coding RNA. NCBI's taxonomy places the organism in Eukaryota, Metazoa, Chordata, Mammalia, Lagomorpha, Leporidae. The record is from RefSeq and is a predicted model, not a curated record.
CAGGGAGCGCACUCAUCUGCACCGUGGCCCUGGGCUGCUGGGAAGUGACCAGCUCUCCUGCUGGCUUCAGAAAUUAGCUCUGGAGACCUGGACAGCUCCCACCGCACAGGACUCCACGGAGCCUGAAGGCAAUCUGAAGAGCCGAUUUACGAGCCUGCAAAGCUGGGGGAAGGAAGGAACCUGAAGAUCUUGAAGUUUAUCGGUUCAGCUGCCCGUCUGUGUGGGGUGGUCCUGUGGCUUCAUGAUUAGACCUACAAAUUCAAUGUCAGCCAGGAGUCCGUGGCUGCCCUCCUUUGCUCUCAAUGAAGAAUGACCUGCGUCUGAGUGUCACCUUCCCAGAGCUUAGAUCUCCUGGCGAGCGGCCUCUGCCCCACAUUAUAGCAUCCAUGCAGUGCAGAGCUACCUCCCAGUGAGAAUGGGGCUGCCGGGCAAAGGAGACCAGAGGUCCUGCACCAGCCGUAUCUGUGACCACGUGGAGGCAGAAGGAAGAAUCAUAGAACUGACGUUGCAAACCACCAAGCACUGCCAUCUUGGAGGAGCCUGGAGAAGAGAUCAGGAUUUGGAUCAGUAAAUUUUGGCCAUUCCUCUUUCCCGGAGCCAGAGUGACAAGGACCCAAGGCAAGCUCUCACACUGAGUUUAAUGACUUUGCUGGAGGUCACUUUGGGGGGAAAGUUUCAAAGGCAACCCACAAAGCAAUGAAAGGCGACCCAGAGCUGGGUGA